Molecule: long non-coding RNA, 1233 nt
Organism: Cinclus cinclus
Lineage: Eukaryota; Metazoa; Chordata; Aves; Passeriformes; Cinclidae
Exons: 3
Source: RefSeq, a predicted model, not a curated record
AUUACAAAAUGGAGGAUGAUAAUUUCAAUAUAAUAAAUCUUUAGAUUAUGGAAGUCCACUAGAAUUUUUUUUUUUUUUACUUUAAUGGUGGUGGGAAGGAUAGAGAAAUCUAGUGGAAAUAUCAAGGAUCAGAUUCUACAAGUUUCUGUUUUCUGGUGCAAAUUAUCUCACUGUUGCUGGAUGGAGAUGCAGUUCUGAUUUGGUAUCUCAAGAAACCAUAUGCAGCAACUAAUACUUCCAUUCAGAAAAUGUACAAAGUACUUCUCUUCAAGAAUGUGACUCUGAUCUUCAUGUUUUCAGUGCUUAAAUGUUUUCAUGAUGAGGAGCAGGAAAGGAAUCUGAUGUCUAGAUGAGAUUGGGUGACAAAAGACUUAAUGUAGGGAAUGUUUGGACAUUCUUGAGGCAACAGUGAUUGCUAUCACAAUAAUUAUUCCACUUUACCAGCAAUGCCUCUGUGUUAUGAGUAAUAUAUUUUUAUUUUAACGGUUAACCAGUGUACUCGGAUUGCUCAAACUUACGAAAUAUUUCCUCUAUAAUUUUAUUCCCUCUUGCUAUCUGACAAGAGUUGAGAGAGUCUAUAUUAAUUUGUUCAUUGUUGUGUGCCAGUACUGAGGCAUUUAUUUAAUAUUACUGACUAAAAUAUCUAAAAGUUUGGUAAAUAGAUGUCUGAAUCUAGUUUGUCAUGGAAAUAUAAGUCUGUUCUCAGUUUCACGUGCAUACCAUUCCAGUCAAGUGAUUCAUGCUCACAUGGGUGUGAUAGGCUUGUAUUUCAUGCAGUUAACUGUAAAGACCUUGUAUCAAGUUUGAAAUAUUUUUGUUCCAUCUUAUAUCACACGUUUAUUUUAUAUCACAGUAAUUCUUCUUAAGUUCGGCUCUGGGCUCUCAGAAGUUAGAUUUGUCUUUGCUUUAAACACUUCUUUUCUUUUUUUUUUUUCCCCCAGUAAGUAACAUUCAGCAAUGUGUUAUCCUACUGUUUUUAUUUGGAUCAGCCAUGCAGUUUUGAAGUAAAUCUGUUUGCCUCUACUUUGAUUUGCAUUGUGGAGAGAUCCUAGGGAGUGACCUGGAUGGGAUUCCUUUUGCUCAAAAUAAUGUGAAAGCUGCAGGAAUGUGCCUAAUGCACUCCAGCCACUAUUUUAUGUAAUUGGAGGCUUCAAUCUCCAUAAUUUGUGGAUUGCCAGUAUUAAUGAGAUGUCCUUAAUGAAAAGAGAUUGUUUCAGAUCCUUUGACUAAAUA